AGCGUUGCGCAUUGGCAGUAUCGUAACCAAUGAGGUUUAUCCGAGGUGUGAUUAUUGCUAGUUUAAAACUAUUACCAAUACCCCGCCCUGGUGAUACAAUCGCAUCGCCUGUGGCAAUUUCUGAAAGUUUCUGCGGAAC
This is a small nuclear RNA of Styela clava, 139 nucleotides long. RefSeq annotates it as U4 spliceosomal RNA. The record is from RefSeq and is a predicted model, not a curated record. NCBI's taxonomy places the organism in Eukaryota, Metazoa, Chordata, Ascidiacea, Stolidobranchia, Styelidae.